GAAAUGCGAUAAGUAAUGUGAAUUGCAGAAUUCAGUGAAUCAUCGAAUCUUUGAACGCACAUUGCGCCCGGCAGUAAUCUGCCGGGCAUGCCUGUCCGAGCGUCAUUUCUCCCCUCGAGCCACCGCUUCCGGGCGGUGAUCCUCGGUGUUGGGGCACUACGGCGGAGCCCUAACCGGCCCCGCCGCAGGCCCUGAAAUGAAGUGGCGGUCCCGCCGCGGCGCCCCCUGCGUAGUAGUUCUCAUAGCAGCUCGCAUCGGGUCCCGGCGGAGGCCAGCCGUCAAACCCCCCAUAUUUUACAAGGUUUGACCUCGGAUCAGGUAGGGUUACCCGCUGAACUUAA
This 341-nucleotide unclassified non-coding RNA is filed under the name uncultured Sordariomycetes. Its description in RNAcentral is "sequence contains ITS1". The stretch from base 1 to 105 matches the Rfam family "5.8S ribosomal RNA", at positions 50 to 154 of the family's 154-position model. Lineage: Eukaryota; Fungi; Ascomycota; Sordariomycetes. The record is from RNAcentral.